UAAUAAUUUGGUUAUGGUUAUAUAAUUAGCUACAUCAUUAAAUUACACAUGCAAAUUUAUGUGCCCCCGAUAAUCUAUGUCUCUUCUCUUAAAGAUAAUACCUCCUUUUAUUAGAUUACUAUAAUAAAGAUUACGCCUGCAGUGAAAAAUACUGAUUUAAUUAUGCAAAUAAGACACGGUAAAUGAUUCUAAGACUGACUAAAUUCGUGCCAGCAGCCGCGGUUAAACGAUAGGUCUAAGUUAACUUCGACGGAGAUAUGAAAAAAUACUUAGAUAAAAACAAACCUAUAAAGGUACAAUUUCAUAAGCAAAUAAAUAAAUUUAUCCAAUAAACUUUUCAACAAAGUUAAGGCCAAAACAAGGAUUAGAUACCCUUCUAUUCUUAACCUCACCAUAUAACUCCUGGCACUACGAGUACAUACUUAAAACCUAAGAACUUGGCGGUGUUUCAACAUACUAGGGGAGCCUGUUUUUUAAUCGAUAACCCACGCUUACCUUUACCUAGCUUAGAAUUUCAGCUUGUGUACUGCCGUCCAAAGUUUACAUAGUGAUAUAGUAAACUAGAAAGAUUAUCUUUAACAUGUCAGGUCAAAGUGCAGCCAACAGCUAGGCUAAAAUGGGCUACAUUUUUUAUAUAUUUGGAAUGCUUUCUAAUAACGCAUGAAAAUGGACUUAGCAGUAAACUUAAAAUAAAAUACUAUAUUGAAGAAGCUAAAUGAAACAUGCACAAAUCGCCCGUCGCUCUUUCUGAAAAGAAAGAUAAGUCGUAACAUAGUUAGUGUAAUGGAAAUUGCACUUAUCAAGAU
RNAcentral lists this non-coding RNA (806 nucleotides) under Glycera cf. tridactyla FS19. Lineage: Eukaryota; Metazoa; Annelida; Polychaeta; Phyllodocida; Glyceridae. The record is from RNAcentral.